UACGUAGGGUGCGAGCGUUAAUCGGAAUUACUGGGCGUAAAGCGUGCGCAGGCGGUUUUGUAAGUUUGUCGUGAAAGCCCCGGGCUCAACCUGGGAAUUGCGAUGAAGACUGCAAGGCUUGAAUCUGGCAGAGGGGGGUAGAAUUCCACGUGUAGCAGUGAAAUGCGUAGAGAUGAUGGAGGAAUACCGAUGGCGAAGGCAGCCCCCUGGGUCAAUACUGACGCUCAUGCACGAAAGCGUGGGGAGCAAACAGG
This 254-nucleotide ribosomal RNA is filed under the name uncultured bacterium. Its description in RNAcentral is "partial 16S ribosomal RNA". It matches the Rfam family "Bacterial small subunit ribosomal RNA", at positions 524 to 776 of the family's 1533-position model. The record is from RNAcentral.